This 360-nucleotide long non-coding RNA is filed under the name Coccomyxa subellipsoidea. RNAcentral describes it as "long non-coding RNA (CSUB_LNC000733)". Lineage: Eukaryota; Viridiplantae; Chlorophyta; Trebouxiophyceae; Coccomyxaceae. The record is from RNAcentral.
GCGCCCUUUUCACCUGCGCCCUGCACACACUGUUUGCGAAUGGAUGCCAGGAACAGUCCACUGCGCCAGCCGUACAAGAGGGUGAAGCUCCAAACUUUGCACAGCAAAGUCACUGUGUUUCGAAGCGGGCUCAUCGGCACCUUUGUCUAAUGUGCCACGGCAGGUUGAGACAAGCAAAGCUGGAUAGUUGGAAAUCUAAGGGUGGAGCCGCUUGACAAAUUAGCUGUGCCGUGUUCAAUGCUCAAUUCCCAAGCUUUGUUUGCGACACCUGAUUGGGGGAUGUGCAGGGCAAAGAUGUCCCGUUGACUCGCACGGACAAUAUCGUUGAAAUUCUCAGCUGUUGCCGAGGAAUCGGACUCC